UCGCGGCGGUGCGCGCAGAAGGGUCUGGGCUCGAGCCUGCCUGGAGCCGCCGCCGGUGCAGAUCUUGGUGGUAGUAGCAAAUACUCCAGCGAGGCCCUGGAGGACUGACGUGGAGAAGGGUUUCGUGUGAACAGCCGUUGCACACGAGUCAGUCGAUCCUAAGCUCUAGGAGAAAUCCGAUGUAAACGGCGUUGGGAAACAUUUAUAUAAUAUUAUUGUUGAAAAAAGCCCACUGAUCGGGCGAAAGGGAAUCCGGUUCCUAUUCCGGAACCCGGCAGCGGAACCGUUGUUUGUCGGGCCCUCACAAGGGGUUCGUCAGGGCAACCUAAAAGGGCCCGGAGACGCCGUCGGGAGCCCCGGAAAGAGUUUUCUUUUCUGCAUGAGCGUUUGAGUUCCCUGGAAUCCUCUCGCAGGGAGAUAGGGUUUGGAACGCGAAGAGCACCGCAGUUGCGGCGGUGCCCGGGAAUCCCCGACGGACCUUGAAAAUCCGGGAGAGGGCCACGUGGAGGUGUCGCGCCGGCUCGUACCCAUAUCCGCAGCAGGUCUCCAAGGUGAAGAGCCUCUAGUC
This 568-nucleotide ribosomal RNA is filed under the name Procordulia smithii. RNAcentral's name for it is "eukaryotic LSU rRNA". It matches the Rfam family "Eukaryotic large subunit ribosomal RNA", at positions 1389 to 1888 of the family's 3401-position model. Lineage: Eukaryota; Metazoa; Arthropoda; Insecta; Odonata; Corduliidae. The record is from RNAcentral.